RNAcentral lists this ribosomal RNA (560 nucleotides) under uncultured Bacteroides sp. RNAcentral's name for it is "bacterial SSU rRNA". It matches the Rfam family "Bacterial small subunit ribosomal RNA", at positions 114 to 679 of the family's 1533-position model. The record is from RNAcentral. Lineage: Bacteria; Pseudomonadati; Bacteroidota; Bacteroidia; Bacteroidales; Bacteroidaceae.
CGCGUAUCCAACUUCCUUUACCCGGGGAUAGCCUUUCGAAGAAAGAUUAAUACCCGAUGGUUCGGGUUCCGCAUGAGACCCUGAAUAAAGAUUUAUCAGUAAAGGAUGGGGGUGCGUUCCAUUAGGUAGUAGGCGGGGUAACGGCCCACCUAGCCGACGAUGGAUAGGGGUUCUGAGAGGAAGGUCCCCCACAUUGGAACUGAGACACGGUCCAAACUCCUACGGGAGGCAGCAGUGAGGAAUAUUGGUCAAUGGACGAGAGUCUGAACCAGCCAAGUAGCGUGAAGGAUGACUGCCCUAUGGGUUGUAAACUUCUUUAUAUGGGAAUAAAAAGUCCACGUGUGGACUCUUGUAUGUACCCUAUGAAUAAGCAUCGGCUAACUCCGUGCCAGCAGCCGCGGUAAUACGGAGGAUGCGAGCGUUAUCCGGAUUUAUUGGGUUUAAAGGGUGCGUAGGUGGUCUUUUAAGUCAGCGGUGAAAGUUUGUGGCUUAACCAUAAAAUUGCCAUUGAUACUGGGAGACUUGAGUGUGUUUGAGGUAGGCGGAAUGCGUAGUGUAGC